AACGCGGCUGCCGUCUCCCCGGCGACAUCCGACCCGGGGUGAUCCUCGUCGAUCUUAUAAGCUCGACGAGACGUGGUCAUAUCUUCCGGCCUUUGCCAACAAUAAUGAUCCGUAUCUCCUUCACCCACCUGAAUCCAGAGUACGUUAGGAUGAGUGUGAGCUUUGACGAAGUAAUCCGUCCCCCACUUGAUUGCCUCAAGCGCGUAUCUGUACUCGCCCGCGGCGGCUAUAUCUUCACCAUAUUCAAUGACGCUCCAUGAUAGCAUCGUUAUAGUAAAA
RNAcentral lists this unclassified non-coding RNA (279 nucleotides) under Hevea brasiliensis (rubber tree). The record is from RNAcentral. Lineage: Eukaryota; Viridiplantae; Streptophyta; Magnoliopsida; Malpighiales; Euphorbiaceae.